Molecule: ribosomal RNA, 146 nt
Filed under: uncultured bacterium
Lineage: Bacteria
Description: partial 16S ribosomal RNA
Rfam family: Bacterial small subunit ribosomal RNA
Source: RNAcentral
AGGCAGCAGUGGGGAAUAUUGCACAAUGGGGGAAACCCUGAUGCAGCGACGCCGCGUGAGCGAAGAAGUAUUUCGGUAUGUAAAGCUCUAUCAGCAGGGAAGAAAUUGACGGUACCUGAGUAAGAAGCUCCGGCUAAAUACGUGCC